Aegilops tauschii subsp. strangulata is the source of this 3189-nucleotide non-coding RNA. NCBI's taxonomy places the organism in Eukaryota, Viridiplantae, Streptophyta, Magnoliopsida, Poales, Poaceae. The record is from RefSeq and is a predicted model, not a curated record.
CGCGCCCUCCGCCCGCACUCAAGCCCCGCACUCGCGCCUCCGCCCGCACUCUCUGCUCUCUUCCCCGAUCCCCUCCCACGAACCCUAGCAUCCUGGUGCCGCCACCCAUUCCUUCCCCCGUCCCUCCCCCACCCCUCCCCCGCGCCCGAGCCCCUCCCUCCACUUCGUCGCCACCGCUGUCUCUCCUCUUCCUCCCCGCUCUAGCCCCUCCAGGUCGUCGCUCGCGGUGGUUCCAGAUCCUGCGCUGGUCGUCCCCAUGGGUGAGGAGGGGAGGUUGGGUCUUCAAGGUUGGCGGAGGUGCAGGGAGACCGGCAGCGUGGGGAGGAGCAGUGAGCCAGGAGCCAGGGAGAGGCCAACGUCGGGGACAAGAAGCAGCGGGGCCAGCGGUCCAUCGCGGUGGUUUGGAGGGAGAGGGAGAGGGAGGAGGUCGGCCACGAGAGAAGGAGCAGGCCGGCCCUGCUUCAUCAUGGAGGAUGUCCAGCUGCUCGUCCUCCUCCGCCUCUUCUCCAAGCGUCCAUCCUAUCGCAACUCAGCUUCAGAAUUGGGUGCGUAUGAACAAUGCAACGGAGGUUAUGUUAAUUCCUAGAAUCUUAUAUGUUCUUUUGUCUCCUGGUGAUUACUUCGAAUGGCUGUGUGAGGUAAUAGAGCUAAUACCUUUUGUUUCUUCAUCACUAUAAACCGUGUCUGAUUUUAAAACUGAGAGCCAUAAAAUAUAUGCAUUAAUCUCUCUUGAUAUUUUCCCAUACGACCAACAUUAAUCUAUGUUGAUGUGUUCUAUGCCAAUUCAUUGCCGAUGGAGUGCCAACAUUAAUCGUAUAUAAAAUUUAGUUCUAACUUGCAAAAAUGUUCUGAUUACUGUUUGUGUGUGUGGCUACACAUCUGUGCCGUUCCAGCUGCUCUGUUCUUACUUUGAACACCGAGUUGAGCAGUGGAUCACGCGGGAAAAAAAUCAAACCGCUUCAAAUGAAGAAAUACUCUUCUAAAACUAUGCUCCUCUUAGGACAGACACACCUCCUGUGCAUAUGGUUGUAGGUUGUAUCCAUGCCAAGAUAGCACCUUGUAUGCAUAAGAUGGACCAUAUUUUGAAUAUACGAAAAAUCAAUUUAUUUAGUUUUCUUGCUGUCAGAAUAAGAGCAUGAAACCAACUUCCAUCAAACACAUAUCUGCAGCAUUAUACUAUGUACAGGGUGCAGAUAUAUAUAUUUGUUGACCAAGCAAUUCCUUUCUUCUGACUAAACGACCAAUAUAUGAUUACCAAUCACCCAAUUUCCUCCCUAUUUUUUUAUUGCAACAUAACAUAUUGUAUUCUCUGUUUUCUAAUCUUAGUGUAAUCUGAUGUGCAAACAGAGAUGCCUUUAUUCACAAAAAGGCAGGCAGUGUAAGUGAAGAACACCUAAAACAGAUGGAAAAUGCAAUUACAGACACACCGUCGUUCUAUUUUUCUACAGGAACACAGGUUGCAAUUCCAGUUUCAUCGACGGACUCGCUUGCUGCUCUAGAAGGUGCUUGGGCUUGUUUCUCUGACCGAUUUAUUGGGACAUCUCACAUGGAUCUUCACUGCCUCAUAUACCUAUUUUUUAUUCUCUCGUCAAUUCCACACGUCUGCUCGUCCAUUACAUGGUACUAGAUGGUCCCUGUUAAGUUAAUUCGAGGUACAUCCCAUCAGGACUAUUAUUUGAUUUGUUGGAUUAAUUUAUUUCAGAUAGCUUACUCCAGGUUGAAUCUCUUUGUCAUUGAAACUUCAUUGAGAAGACAGACAACAAUAUACUUUGCAAAUGCGACCCUAGAUGUUCCAAUAUAUUGUCAUAUUAUGGUUUUGUUUUAUUUUUUAUUGCUUCCUAUUGUUUGCUUUGUUUGAACUGCAUUUUAUAGCCAGGUUUUUUUUGUUGCUUUUGUUUUGUUUAGGUGGGUUCUAAACCAUUAAAGCAGAAAACAUACUGUUUAUAAGAAGUAUACAUAGUAUUGUAGAUUUAUGUUCACCCAUUAUCCAGAACGUUGACCUGGAGUCCUCCUUUUACAUAUUUGGUCUUCUUGGAAUCAAGCAAAAAUUACUAAGAAGCACAUAACUGAUUAUUUCUUCUGCUUAGCCUCAUUUUUGUUAUGCACACAGGUGGGUAAGGUUUGAAUCUCUAUAGGACUCACAGUUAGGUGCCACUGGAGGCAUAUUAUGUAAGUGCAUGUCUAUUGUUAUGAGUUUCAGUUUUCGACUCUAUGCAAUUCUCGGUGCAAGGGCCCCCGCUUCCUUGUUGUGACGUUGCAGCCUCACUGGGCCUUCUGCAGGCAAGAGUUAUGUCCAGAUGAGCUAACCCUUUACUAUCCAAACCUUCUGAAGAUGGAGCAACAACGCUAAAGAUGGAGCAGCCUGCCAUGUAUUAGGGCAUACGCAUUUCUGUUGGGAUUAUGCGGGUGACAAUAUCAGGUAUGUACAAGCGCCUCUGGCAUACCCUCGAGAAAGAAAGCGAAGGAUAAAUGGAGGCCAAGGAUGGUUGCCGUUUUUUGUAUAUUGUGAUGGCUUCAACCCUGAAACAAGAAUAGAAGGGAGCCUGAGAACACUCAGCUUGCGCCAUGCUCUAAGAGAUAGACGGAGGUCUCAACUGGCUGGGAAGAUUUGACAAGAGAUGUGGAGAUGGGGCACGGGGAGGGGAGGGCGAGUCGGCCUGGAGGCCCCGGUUGUGGCUUCGACUAGGCAGGCCUGGGACUCGCGGUGGCGGGCGGCCUCGCGCUGGAGCUGGUCCUGGCGGGCGGCCUUGGCCUCGUCCACACGGACUUCUCCUGGUUGUCGAACCGGUCGAGGGUCAUCCAACUUCUUGUUUAUCAGGCUACUAUUUGAUAAAAUGUAAGAUAUUUCUGUUUGGAAGGGUUUCCUGACGUCCGGACCGGUCAUACUUUUGCAAGAUACAUGCGAGCAUUGUUGUGUCCAACCUGCACAAGAAUGCCAAGAAGUCCUUCUCGGAGACGAUUAAGGACAUGUACCUGCACUACAACGAGAGAUCUGGGCUGCUUCUUUGUGGCUUCCAAAUUUGAAAUGUUUCUUUGGGAGUUAGUUUAGUUUUCUGUUAUGGAUUCACAGCUUCUCACAUGUACCAUCCUCUUAGACCUUUAGAUUUCCAAAGAAACAAAAUGAAGAUAUUGUGGUAUGGUCUCAAUAAUACAACUUAAAGCUUUUCAUGCUUUAUAUUUUCUUUGAAA